GCUGAGGUGGCAGAGGAAAUAUGCGUCAGGUUUAAGAGUUGAAUACGGGAGAUAAAUCCCUCUUGGCA
This 68-nucleotide transfer RNA is filed under the name Mactra antiquata. RNAcentral's name for it is "tRNA-Leu". The record is from RNAcentral. Lineage: Eukaryota; Metazoa; Mollusca; Bivalvia; Venerida; Mactridae.